GUAGGGUCCGAGCGUUGUCCGGAUUUAUUGGGCGUAAAGAGCUCGUAGGCGGUUCCGUAAGUCAGAUGUGAAAACUCAGGGCUCAACCCGGAGACGCCAUCUGAUACUGCGGUGACUGGAGUCUGGUAGGGGAACACGGAAUUCCUGGUGUAGCGGUGAAAUGCGCAGAUAUCAGGAGGAACACCGAUGGCGAAGGCAGUGUUCUGGGCCAGUACUGACGCUGAGGAGCGAAAGCGUGGGGAGCAAACAGGAUUAGAUACCCUGGUAGUCCACGCCGUAAACGUUGGGCACUAGGUGUGGGUCCUCAUCAACGGGAUCCGUGCCGUAGCUAACGCAUUAAGUGCCCCGCCUGGGGAGUACGGCCGCAAGGCUA
This 373-nucleotide ribosomal RNA is filed under the name uncultured bacterium. RNAcentral describes it as "bacterial SSU rRNA". It matches the Rfam family "Bacterial small subunit ribosomal RNA", at positions 527 to 896 of the family's 1533-position model. The record is from RNAcentral.